UACAGAGGUCCCGAGCGCUAGGCGGAAUCACUGGGCUUAAAGCGUGUGUAGGCGGAUCCGUAAGUACCUUGUGAAAUCCCACGGCUCACCCGUGGAACUGCUCGGUAUACUGCGGGUCUUGGGCCAUCUAGGGGCGAGCGGAACAAACGGUGGAGCGGUGAAAUGCGUAGAUAUCGUGUGGAACGCCAAUGGUGACAACAGCUCGCUGGGGAUGUGCCGACGCUGAGACACGAAAGCCAGGGGAGCAAACGGG
RNAcentral lists this ribosomal RNA (253 nucleotides) under uncultured bacterium. RNAcentral's name for it is "partial 16S ribosomal RNA". It matches the Rfam family "Bacterial small subunit ribosomal RNA", at positions 524 to 776 of the family's 1533-position model. The record is from RNAcentral.